This 798-nucleotide unclassified non-coding RNA is filed under the name Hevea brasiliensis (rubber tree). The record is from RNAcentral. Lineage: Eukaryota; Viridiplantae; Streptophyta; Magnoliopsida; Malpighiales; Euphorbiaceae.
GAGAGAGAGAGAGAGAGAGAGCGCUAAAUAGGGUGCCUUAGGAAAAGUGUGAUUCUGAUUUUUUUUUCUCUGGUUUCUUGUUGGCAUUUGAAGGCACAUCCAUCUUGUUGAAACUACAAAGAAAACCCAGAAUAAACUCAUUGUUCAAUACAAAAGGGGUAGUAGAAAGACACUAAAAAAUAAUAAAAAAGAUUUUGGAAGUUAUGUGCCUUUAUGAUGGAUAUAUAUAAUAUAUACAUACCACUGCCCAAGCUAACGGGCAAAUGUAUUCAAAUUUAAGGACCAAUGUUCUUAAGUUCUGUUAGUGUAUCAGUCUGCAAUAGGUUUGAAGCUACAAAUUUGUAUGCUGUGAUCUAAUGAGAUCUUUUUCAUAGGCAACUCCUGCAAUUUUCUUGAUUAAUUUAGAAGGAGAAACUGAUCUCUGUUGUACUAAAGUCAAGUGAUAAAGUUACCCCAAAACAAAAUACUUUAGGAUGGUCAUUUGUCUAUUCUAAGUGUUUUAAUUUGCAGCUAUCAAAAUGUUCAUGAUUAUGAUAUGGGAUUGAAUGGGAUAACAGUGAAUCCAACUAUAUUUGCAGGUGUGGACUUCUCAAACGCAGUUUUAGAUCGGGUUAAUUUCGGGAAAGCCAAUCUUCAAGGAGCUGUAUUUAAGAACGCUGUACUAUCAGGCUCCACUUUUGAUGAAGCUCAAUUGGCAGAUGCUGUUUUUGAGGACACCAUAAUAGGAUACAUUGAUCUUCAGAAGCUAUGUACAAAUAUAACCAUUGAUUCUGAAGGAAGAGCUAGUCUCGGCUGUCG